AACGAACGCUGGCGGCAGGCUUAACACAUGCAAGUCGAACGCUCUCUUCGGAGAGAGUGGCAGACGGGUGAGUAACACGUGGGAACCAACCCUUCGGUACGGAAUAGCCCCGGGAAACUGGGAGUAAUACCGUAUACGCCCUUAGGGGAAAGAUUUAUCGCCGAAGGACGGGCCCGCGUCUGAUUAGCUUGUUGGUGAGGUAAUGGCUCACCAAGGCGACGAUCAGUAGCUGGUCUGAGAGGAUGAUCAGCCACACUGGGACUGAGACACGGCCCAGACUCCUACGGGAGGCAGCAGUGGGGAAUAUUGGACAAUGGGGCAACCCUGAUCCAGCCAUGCCGCGUGAGUGACGAAGGCCUUAGGGUUGUAAAGCUCUUUGGCGGGGACGAUAAUGACGGUACCCGCAGAAUAAGCUCCGGCUAACUUUCGUGCCAGCCGCCGCGGUAAU
RNAcentral lists this ribosomal RNA (448 nucleotides) under uncultured bacterium. RNAcentral's name for it is "bacterial SSU rRNA". It matches the Rfam family "Bacterial small subunit ribosomal RNA", at positions 29 to 524 of the family's 1533-position model. The record is from RNAcentral.